RNAcentral lists this small nuclear RNA (19 nucleotides) under Arabidopsis thaliana (thale cress). RNAcentral's name for it is "snRNA_00606". Lineage: Eukaryota; Viridiplantae; Streptophyta; Magnoliopsida; Brassicales; Brassicaceae. The record is from RNAcentral.
UGAAGAAGAAACCUACCUU